Phoenix dactylifera (date palm) is the source of this 2916-nucleotide non-coding RNA. NCBI's taxonomy places the organism in Eukaryota, Viridiplantae, Streptophyta, Magnoliopsida, Arecales, Arecaceae. The record is from RefSeq and is a predicted model, not a curated record.
GCGCGGGGGUGGGUGGACGCGCAUUUACUCAACCACUCCCCCAAUCCCUGCUCCCCCUCUUCGCCUCCGCGCCCAUAUCUAGGGCUUCGGUGUCUCCCCCUCUCCCAUCCCUCACCGCCUCCCCUCCUCCUCCUCCGCGCUCUCUCUCUCUCUCUGCGCCGUCCAUCCCCAUCUGGACGGCUGAUAAACGCCUUCGCCCAAACCGGCUCUGCCUAUAAGAGAGAGAGAGAAAUGGAGGAGGGAGGGGAGUGGGUGCCGGGGUUGCAUGAAGUCGUGGUCAUUUCUGGAGGCCCAGCUGGAGGCCCGGGACCUGCUUCUCGUCUCCUUUUGUCUUUAUUCCACCUUAUUGGCUUUUAUCUUCUCCCCACCCCCUUUCUCUCCGCCAACGUAAUCAUUUCAGCUCCAUCUCUCUCUCUCCCUCCCUCUCUCUAAUUUCCCCCCCUAGAAAGAAGCCGGGACUUGUGGGGGAAGAAACAAGAAGAGAGGAAGCUUUUUCUUUGAGGGGAAUGUUGUCUGGCUCGAGGCCUCCAAUUCUUGGGCUUUUUUUUUUCUUUAGAUCUGGUGGUAAAGAGAGAAAAAAAAAAAGGGAUCUCGGACCAGGCUUCAUUCCCCCCAAUCACAGCUUCCAUCAUCAUCUCCGACUCUGGAAUCGGCUGAAAUCUUCGAUCUAUAUGCAGGAUGGUUAUGUGGGGGAGAAGGGACCGGGGAUGCAGAUUGGUGUAAUGAUGAUGGGUUUGGACUCCCGCGCUCUCUAUCAUUCUGCUUCUGUUCCCAUUCUUGCUUUCUUUCUUUUCCAGUCUGACAGGAAAAAGGGCAUGCGCGAAAAGGUUUUCAUCAUAACUUUUGAAGGGAUCUUCUCUUUCCCUCAUUCCUUUUCUCCCCCCUCUCUGCUUCUUGAUCCUUUCGUAGUUACCAAGCUUAUUCAUGACAGGAUGCGAGAUCUAGCUCCCUUUUCCCCCCCCUUUUUUUUUUCCGUUUGAUUUCCAGUACUUAUUUUUCUUGCCUUUUUUGCCGAAAUCAAAAAAAGCAUAUUUCAAUAGUAAAAUGUUCGAAAAUCCAGCCGAGCGGUCUUUCUUUUAAGGGCUUAUUUUUAUCUUACUGUGAAUCGUUUUGUGCUCUCGGAUCCAUGGUUAUGGAUCCCUCGCCUUGAUCGGAAAAGAGGGAAGUAUUCUAUGUCUCUAACCCUUUGUUUUGUUUUGAUGUGUUCGCUUUGCCAUACCGUGAUUCACAUAUAUCAUGCGAUGCGGCCAUGUUUAAGGAGUCACAUGCAUGCAGUUCUGGUUUAGAUUUUCGCGAGGCAAGUAUUGGAUCCGAUAAUAUCUCUGAUACAUGUCCCAUGUGUAAGAGAUCGAUCUCUUUGUUCCCAUCCUCCAUUUCUCUUUACAGUAUUUUCGCUUUUUGGACACAACUUUUUCUUGAUGGAAAUAUUCAAUUUGGCUGCAAGCAUGGAUGGGAUUAGUUGUUGGCAGCCAGUAUCGACCAAGUCAACACCAAUACCUCAUUAUUCCUACUUUGGAAUGGAUACUGCACAUCUCGAAUCCUUACUAGUAUCUUUCUAUAUCAUAAGUUUUCUACAUAAGUUUUGAGUUUUGACGAUGAGCAGCACUAUUCUAGCUCAACACUUUACCUUGUUUGAUCCACAUAUCUCACUCAUUAAAUUGCUAAGUUAUCCUUUUUCUUUCUUGUCACCCUUUUUCUCUUUCAAGCAUUUGAAUUCACCGUAUGCUUUAGCUGUCGCCAAGUAUAAAAGAUUCCAUAUUACUUAUUUGAUGCCUUGCAUUCAUGGGGUUCUGAAGUUUACAGCGGAUGGGUUCUGCUUGCACCCUAGAACUAGUAGAAAGCCUCCGGUUGUAUGCUCUAAUCUCGGCUUCUCUUUGAGCUGUUACCAUCAUUAAUGCUGAUAUGUUGUUUUCUCGCUGCUGUUUUUUGUUUCUGCUGCGUGGCAUUAAUCUCGCUUUGUUGAGAGUAGAGACUACUCCAUUUAGAAGAGCAAGAAGAUUAGGUCGGACGGUGGUUAUCCAGGGCAAGGGCAGCGAUCAAAGCCACGGAGACACGUGUGAUGUUGUCCCGUAGCUCGUGGGAAUGGUCAUUUCAGCUGCUGUCAUCCAGUGGCUCAGAAUCGACAUGGUUAGGAGUUGUAGGGUUUGUAGGGAGGGGUGGUCUAGGGUUUGCCGGAGAGGAAAAAGAGGAAGCUACAUCCAAAUGUCUGUCUCCACCACCCCCUUCAGCCAGAGAGACCAACGUCAGCUGUCCCAUGCAUUGGAUCCCAUCACCUGACAGCCUUUCUAAGGCUGCCUUUGCCCUCCGGGAACCCACCCCCCUCGCAACUACUUUUAGGAGGUUAUGCCUUUUGGCUUGGGGAAGAUCCAACUUUAUCUUGGCUUUUGGUGCUUUUUUACCUUUGGGAGUCUCGUGCCCACAACUUUCCCAUGUUUGAUGGCAACUCCACACCCGCACAAGAAAUUGGAAUGGUACAGCAAUCAGGACAAGUGGUUUGUGUGAUGCUCGUCUCGCUUUCAACUCUUUCGAACGCUGCAGGAGUGCCAUAUAUAAACAAGGUGCAGAUACAUUCCAGAAAAGAAAAGGAAAAGAAAAAGGAAAAAGGAAUAAAAUAAAAGAGAUGCUUGGUGGCCGAAGACCCACUAAAUAUUGAGCCACAGCAACAAAAUGCCUAGUUGAACUGAAACCAUCACCUUAUGGAGAUAAGGACAAGUUCUAUCUACGUUUGGAUAAGAAAUAUGACGCCGGCCUUCUUGAUCGAAGAAAUCCAUCGCACAUUAUUUCAGUAAGUGGUGUCCUGUCAAAUAGGACUUUUAUAGGAGAUGUUGUCAAACAAAGCAGGCAAUUAUUGAUGAUAUUGAUAGUAAAUAACUUGAGGUGAUAAUGAACGUUUUCUGUUUAACGGAUUUAUUCUCA